UACGUAGGGGGCAAGCGUUACCCGGAUUCACUGGGCGUAAAGCGCGUGUAGGCGGCUGGCCAAGCGUGGUGUGAAAUCUCCGGGCUCAACCCGGAAACUGCACUGCGAACUGGCCUGGCUGGAGUGCAGGAGAGGGAUGCGGAAUUCACGGUGUAGCGGUGAAAUGCGUAGAUAUCGGGAGGAACACCUGUGGCGAAAGCGGCUCACUGGACCACAACUGACGCUGAGGCGCGAAAGCUAGGGGAGCAAACAGG
Molecule: ribosomal RNA, 254 nt
Filed under: uncultured bacterium
Lineage: Bacteria
Description: partial 16S ribosomal RNA
Rfam family: Bacterial small subunit ribosomal RNA
Source: RNAcentral